AUACCUUUUUCGGCCUUUUGGCUAAGAUCAAGUGUAGUAUCUGUUCUUAUCAGUUUAAUAUUUGAUAUGUGGGCCAUCGGCUCACACGAUAUUAACUCUUUUAAGAAAAAAUUUCAU
RNAcentral lists this small nuclear RNA (117 nucleotides) under Nicotiana sylvestris (wood tobacco). Its description in RNAcentral is "U2 spliceosomal RNA". It matches the Rfam family "U2 spliceosomal RNA". Rfam says of the family: U2 is a small nuclear RNA (snRNA) component of the spliceosome (involved in pre-mRNA splicing). Complementary binding between U2 snRNA (in an area lying towards the 5' end but 3' to hairpin I) and the branchpoint sequence (BPS) of the intron results the bulging out of an unpaired adenosine, on the BPS, which initiates a nucleophilic attack at the intronic 5' splice site, thus starting the first of two transesterification reactions that mediate splicing. The record is from Rfam by way of RNAcentral. Lineage: Eukaryota; Viridiplantae; Streptophyta; Magnoliopsida; Solanales; Solanaceae. RNAcentral also lists the same sequence under 1 other name.